AUACGGAGGGUCCAAGCGUUAUCCGGAAUCAUUGGGUUUGAAGGGUCCGUAGGCGGACAAUUAAGUCAGAGGUGAAAGCCCACAGCUCAACUGUGGAACUGCCUUUGAUACUGGUUGUCUUGAAUUAUAGUGAAGUAGAUAGAAUAUGUAGUGUAGCGGUGAAAUGCAUAGAUAUUACAUAGAAUACCGAUUGCGAAGGCAGUCUACUAACUAUAUAUUGACGCUGAUGGACGAAAGCGUGGGGAGCGAACAGGAUUAGAAACCCUAGUAGUCC
RNAcentral lists this ribosomal RNA (274 nucleotides) under uncultured bacterium. RNAcentral describes it as "partial 16S ribosomal RNA". It matches the Rfam family "Bacterial small subunit ribosomal RNA", at positions 523 to 796 of the family's 1533-position model. The record is from RNAcentral.